This 350-nucleotide transfer-messenger RNA is filed under the name Trueperaceae bacterium. It matches the Rfam family "transfer-messenger RNA". From Rfam's summary of the family: Bacterial tmRNA, also known as 10Sa RNA or SsrA, is named for its dual tRNA and mRNA-like properties. Its role is to liberate the mRNA from a stalled ribosome. Lineage: Bacteria; Thermotogati; Deinococcota; Deinococci; Trueperales; Trueperaceae. The record is from RNAcentral.
GGGGGCGUCAUUGGUUUCGACGUGGGUCGCGAAGUUUGUAGGUGCAUGCCGAGGAGGAAACUAUCCUCGUAAAAAAUGUUUCAAAUGUUAUAGUUGCAAACGACGAUAACUACGCUCUAGCUGCUUAAGCUAGCCCUUACCAAAUUCAGCUUGCGGUUUUUGGAUAAGGGUCGAUUAGCAAGAUCGCCUAGGUCGGUGUUUAGACGAUUCUAGGUUAAACUUAUCUAAACUGGUCAAACCAAAUCCUGAUUGUCGGAGUUGGCACGACGAGAUUAAAAGACAAAGCUAAGCAUGUAGAUCCUCAAAUAGAGGGCUGGCGGACGCGGGUUCGACUCCCGCCGCCUCCACCA